Molecule: long non-coding RNA, 404 nt
Filed under: Homo sapiens (human)
Lineage: Eukaryota; Metazoa; Chordata; Mammalia; Primates; Hominidae
Description: non-protein coding lnc-KLF8-3:1
Source: RNAcentral
CAUGAAGUCUGCCCAUGCCUAUGUUUUCUUCUAGGGUUUUUGUGGUUUUAGGUUUUAUGUUUAGGUCUUUAAUCCAUCUUGAGUUAAUUUUUGUAUAAGGUGUAAGGAAGGGGUCCAGUUUCAGUUUUCUGCAUAUGGCUAGGCAGUUUUCCCAACACCAUUUAUUAAAUAGGGAAUCCUUUCCCAAUUGCUUGUUUUUGUCAUGUUUGUCAAAGAUCAGGUGGUUGUAGCUGUGUGGUGUUAUUUCUGAGGCCUCUGUUCUGUUCCAUUGGUCUAUAUAUCUGUUUUGGUACCAGUACCAUGCUGUUUUGGUUUGCAAUGCAGUCACAGCAAAGACCUCAGACAAUCCUAUGGGGCUUCUGGAGCUAGAAUGGCCCUUCAAAGCCAUCCUGAAUUGGGAUGGA